This 455-nucleotide ribosomal RNA is filed under the name uncultured bacterium. RNAcentral describes it as "bacterial SSU rRNA". It matches the Rfam family "Bacterial small subunit ribosomal RNA", at positions 29 to 524 of the family's 1533-position model. The record is from RNAcentral.
AGCGAACGCUGGCGGCAGGCUUAACACAUGCAAGUCGAGCGGGCGUAGCAAUACGUCAGCGGCAGACGGGUGAGUAACGCGUGGGGGGAACGUACCUUUUGGUUCGGAACAACACAGGGAAACUUGUGCUAAUACCGGAUAAGCCCUUACGGGGAAAGAUUUAUCGCCGAAAGAUCGGCCCGCGUCUGAUUAGCUAGUUGGAGGGGUAAUGGCCCACCAAGGCGACGAUCAGUAGCUGGUCNGAGAGGAUGAUCAGCCACAUUGGGACUGAGACACGGCCCAAACUCCUACGGGAGGCAGCAGUGGGGAAUAUUGGACAAUGGGCGCAAGCCUGAUCCAGCCAUGCCGCGUGAGUGAUGAAGGCCCUAGGGUUGUAAAGCUCUUUUGUGCGGGAAGAUAAUGACGGUACCGCAAGAAUAAGCCCCGGCUAACUUCGUGCCAGCAGCCGCCGUAAC